GAUGAACGCUGACAGAAUGCUUAACACAUGCAAGUCUUUGGCGAAGCUGUGCUUGCACAGCCUAGCCAAGGCGGACGGGUGAGUAACGCGUAAGGAACUUGCCCUGCAGUCAGGGAUAACAGACGGAAACGACUGAUAAAACCUGAUAAAGUCAGACGGACUCAUGUCCAGUCUGAUGAAAAGAAAUGCUGCAGGAGAGCCUUGCGUCUUAUUAGCUUGUUGGUGGGGUAACGGCCCACCAAGGCAAUGAUAGGUAGCCGGCCUGAGAGGGUGGACGGCCACAAGGGGACUGAGAUACGGCCCUUACUCCUACGGGAGGCAGCAGUGGGGAAUAUUGGACAAUGGGGGCAACCCUGAUCCAGCAAUUCUGUGUGCACGAAGAAGGUUUUCGGAUUGUAAAGUGCUUUCAGCAGGGAAGAAAAAAAUGACGGUACCUGCAGAAGAAGCGACGGCUAAAUACGUGCCAGCAGCCGCGGUAAUACGUAUGUCGCAAGCGUUAUCCGGAAUUAUUGGGCAUAAAGGGCAUCUAGGCGGCCAGAUAAGUCUGGGGUGAAAACUUGCGGCUCAACCGCAAGCCUGCCCUGGAAACUAUGUGGCUAGAGUACUGGAGAGGUGGACGGAACUGCACGAGUAGAGGUGAAAUUCGUAGAUAUGUGCAGGAAUGCCGAUGAUGAAGAUAGUUCACUGGACGGUAACUGACGCUGAAGUGCGAAAGCUAGGGGAGCAAACAGG
Molecule: ribosomal RNA, 732 nt
Filed under: uncultured Leptotrichia sp.
Lineage: Bacteria; Fusobacteriati; Fusobacteriota; Fusobacteriia; Fusobacteriales; Leptotrichiaceae
Description: bacterial SSU rRNA
Rfam family: Bacterial small subunit ribosomal RNA
Source: RNAcentral